AGAUUAAGUUAUUAAGGGCGCACGGUGGAUGCCUUGGCACUAGAAGCCGAUGAAGGACGUUACUAACGACGAUAUGCUUUGGGGAGCUGUAAGUAAGCUUUGAUCCAGAGAUUUCCGAAUGGGGAAACCCAGCAUGAGUUAUGUCAUGUUAUCGAUAUGUGAAUACAUAGCAUAUCAGAAGGCACACCCGGAGAACUGAAACAUCUUAGUACCCGGAGGAAGAGAAAGAAAAUUCGAUUCCCUUAGUAGCGGCGAGCGAAACGGGAAGAGCCCAAACCAACAAGCUUGCUUGUUGGGGUUGUAGGACACUCUAUACGGAGUUACAAAGGACGACAUUAGACGAAUCAUCUGGAAAGAUGAAUCAAAGAAGGUAAUAAUCCUGUAGUCGAAAAUGUUGUCUCUCUUGAGUGGAUCCUGAGUACGACGGAGCACGUGAAAUUCCGUCGGAAUCUGGGAGGACCAUCUCCUAAGGCUAAAUACUCUCUAGUGACCGAUAGUGAACCAGUACCG
This 510-nucleotide ribosomal RNA is filed under the name Staphylococcus aureus. RNAcentral describes it as "bacterial LSU rRNA". It matches the Rfam family "Bacterial large subunit ribosomal RNA", at positions 1 to 503 of the family's 2925-position model. Lineage: Bacteria; Bacillati; Bacillota; Bacilli; Caryophanales; Staphylococcaceae. The record is from RNAcentral.